GCAGAUUAGUGCAAUGAAUUUAAGAUUCAUAUAUAAAUAUUAUUAUUUUUCUAGAA
RNAcentral lists this transfer RNA (56 nucleotides) under Homalodisca ignorata. RNAcentral's name for it is "partial tRNA-Leu". The record is from RNAcentral. Lineage: Eukaryota; Metazoa; Arthropoda; Insecta; Hemiptera; Cicadellidae.